Molecule: non-coding RNA, 2707 nt
Organism: Lactuca sativa (garden lettuce)
Lineage: Eukaryota; Viridiplantae; Streptophyta; Magnoliopsida; Asterales; Asteraceae
Source: RefSeq, a predicted model, not a curated record
CGUCGUGCCGGUUCUAUCACGAAACUUCGAAAGGUCAUAACUUCUUCGUUAUAACUCAGAUUUUGGCGUUCUUUUUAUGUACAGAAUCCUUGUAACAUAUACUAAAUUGACUAGCCCUGAUCGUACAGGCGUUGCACACUUGUCCACAACUUGCUCGACAAAGUCCUAACCAAUCCAGUCCUGAACGAUAGCCCAAACCCGAAAUGAAAUCAAAAGGCUCAUAUUUAAAUAGGGUCAAAGGUCAUUAUUUAGGGUUUCAUGGCUGAAGGGAGUACGCCCUGUGUACCCCUUGGUAUACUCGGCAUACUCGAAUACCACACACGACUACUCUACUCGGUAUGCCUUUCCUCCAAACUCACAUGGUUGAUCCCUAAAGGUGACUUAUCACGUAAAGUUCACAACUCCACAUACAUACAUGGCUUAAUGGGGCUUAAUAGCUCAAAAAGUGCUUAACAAAUGUAUUAAUACAUGCAUGGGUCCAAAUACUCCAUAAAGUUGACAUUUUAUGAACAUAUGGAUUGAUGGAGCUAAAAUCUAACACCCAUUGCCUCUAGGGUAGAUCAAAAGCUCUCAUUUAACACAAAGGACUCAAAAAGUGCACAAAAUGCUCCUUGAACUAGAUCUAACAUAUAAGAGCAUAAAGAUGUAAUCUUUUUACCUUAAAAAGCUUGCAAAUAUGGAGAUGAUCCUGGAUCCCAAAGCUCAAGCAAUCCCCUCAAGAGUUCCUCUUCUUCUUAUUAUUCACAAACCACCAACAAACACUCUUCAAGCAAUCCCCUCAAUAGUUCCUCUUCUUCUUAUCCUUUGUUAGCUUGGUUACCUCGGCAUUAAUAGCUCUAUUGCGGUCUCCCCCUUGAACCCUCUUACUCUGCUUAACUUCCUUUGUGCUCGGCUUGAUCAUCAGCUUGUUCUCUAUAACUUCUCUUUCGACCCCUACCAUGUCGGUGGCGGCAUUAAUAGCUAUUUCUUCCGAUCACAUGACUUUGAAACAUUGCGGUUCCCUUGGUGGGGUCGCGAGGACUGUGCCUCACCCUUCAGUGGUGCUGAAUUUUAUGAUCUUGUGCAUUGUUAACGGAACUGCUCCAAGCUUGAGUAAGGUUAUCCUUCCCAUAAUUAUGUUAUGCUCUGCGGGAUGUCGUAUUACGACGAAGUCAAUUGGGGUCGUCUUCCUUCGUUACUUGUCGUGGCUUAUCAGCAUGAGAGGCAGGUGAAUUGUGCCCUAAGCGGGCGCGAGCCUUUCUGCAGGGGUGCCCUGCUCUUAGGGGCGUUGAGCUCCGCUGGGUCUGUCUUGUCGAGCGCGCUAAGCCCUCGUGCGUUCUGUCUCCACGGGGCACGGUUCUUUUUGUGCUUGCUAGGGCACGUUAUUAUAUAUAUAUAUAUAUAUAUAUAUAUAUAUAUAUAUAUAUAUAUAUAUUAUGAUUUUUAUUAAAUAACUUAUAGUAAAAUAUAUUUUUAUAGGCUUAAAUAUAUUUUUGCAAAUAAAAUCCAAAGGCAAAUUGAAAUGGGCCUCAUCAUUGCUUUUAAUCCAUUGGACAUUUUACCCUAACGCUACUCAGCACCCACACCCACGCAUCAAAUUCUUCAUUUUCUUUCUUGGUCGUAUUCCCUGUUCUUCCGUCUUGACGACCCUAUCGAUCAACACCCUCGUCCAAAUUAUCGUCAUCUUCACGGUAACUUACUCGAAUCGUCACCGCCUGCCGACUCCUACAAUCGGAAUCGUCAUUAUUUUCACAUCGGAUUGCUUAAAUCGUUGGAAUCGUCGUUAAUGGUAAAAAUCCAACACCUUCUCAAUCUGUGUGAGUUGUGCUGGAGAAUGGAGAUAAAUCACUAUUAUCGGUUCUCAGAAUGUUCGUAAACACCACGAAACCUAAAACGGCGGUCCCCGGUUUCACUUGUUUGCCCAUCCGUUCAUCUGCUGCUACACUACUUCCCUACUUCCACGCCGGCCACCGCCCGACUGUUUGCUCACUAUCACACACACUCUUUCUUAACUAUCUAUCAUAUUUGAAAACAUUUUUUACCGUGGAAAUCAAGUCUGGAUAUUGAAGAUAUCAUUUAUUGUGUGUGCCCCUUCCAUCCCGUUUCUGUAAAUGCAAACUCAAACCCCAUUAUAUGUGUUGUUGAAGAGUAAUCUGGAUGUGAGAAAACCAAAAGACCUGGGAUUACUAGCAAUCGAUUGCUAAAGUAUUUAUUUCGAAGUUCUUGGGCACCACAUCACCUCUGUUCAUCAGAAAUUGGAAUAGAUGGUGCAAGUUAUUCUUCUGAUCUCAAAUUGAACUUAGCCAUUGAAUUUAAGAUGAAGAGUUGGUGAUGUUGACUGUUGAGAAGCCACAACCGGUUUUAGGUUGACAAAGUAGUUUAUUACUUGGUGAUGUUCGUGAUUAUCUCCACAAGUCCUUCUUUGCAAAGGUCCCAAUGGAUUAAGAAGGACCUGAUUGGUUUUGGACACUAUUUUUUAUAAUAUAUAUAGCACUUAUGGGAACACAGGAGCUAAAGCUAAUAAAAUGAAAAAAUAUUAGAAGGAAAAGAUAAGUUAUGCAACACUACAUGGGAUAAAGCAAGAUAAAGCAAGCUAAGGAGCAAUGUUACGAAGAAAACAAUAUAAAAGUUAUUUUUUAGGUUUAAUGUUUGCUUAUACUUUUUUUGUUUUUGAUAAUUUCGGAUUUGUUUUGAUGUAAGAAUUUUGAAUUAUUAUUAAUAAAAAUUU